CAGUAGCCGCGGGAAUACGGAGGGUGCAAGCGUUAAUCGGAAUUACUGGGCGUAAAGCGUGCGUAGGCGGUUCGUUAAGUCUGUUGUGAAAGCCCCGGGCUCAACCUGGGAAUGGCAAUGGAUACUGGCGAGCUAGAGUGUGUCAGAGGAUGGUGGAAUUCCCGGUGUAGCGGUGAAAUGCGUAGAGAUCGGGGGGAACAUCAGUGGCGAAGGCGGCCAUCUGGGACAACACUGACGCUGAGGCACGAAAGCGUGGGGAGCGAACAGGAUUAGAUACCCCAGUAGUCCCUGUCUCUUAUAC
This 301-nucleotide ribosomal RNA is filed under the name uncultured bacterium. RNAcentral describes it as "partial 16S ribosomal RNA". It matches the Rfam family "Bacterial small subunit ribosomal RNA", at positions 509 to 807 of the family's 1533-position model. The record is from RNAcentral.